Molecule: small RNA, 3240 nt
Filed under: Pan troglodytes (chimpanzee)
Lineage: Eukaryota; Metazoa; Chordata; Mammalia; Primates; Hominidae
Description: retained intron
Source: RNAcentral
GCAAGACCCUGCCAAGAGAAAAAAAAGACUGUGUCUUUUCACAUUCCACCAAUAUACUGAUAGCAUCUGUCUCUCUGCAUUCUCAAUAGCAUCAAAUAUUAUUACAGUGGGGGAAAAACCUUUGAUAAUCUUGUUGGCAAAAAUGCGUAUUUUUUUGAUUACUAGUGAGUUUAUUUAUUUAUUUUUUUUUUAUUUUUCGAGAUGGAGUCUCGCAGUGUCUCCCAGGUUGGAGUGCAGUGGCGCAAUCUCAGCUCACUGCAACCUCCAUCUCCCGGGUUCAAGCGAUUCUCCUGCCUCAGCCUUCUGAGUAGCUGGGACUACAGGCGCGUGCCACCACACCCGGCUAAUUUUUGUAUUUUUAGUAGAGACGGGGUUUCACUGUGUUGGCCAGGCUGGUCUUGAACUCCUGACCUCAUGAUCCUCCUGCCUUGGCCUCCCAAAGUGCUGGGAUUACAGGUGUGAGCCACUGCGACUGGCCAGUGAGUUUAAAUAUUUAAUUAGUCUUGGCACUUUUUUUUUAUUGAGCUCUAUGAGCUUUUUCUGUAGAAGAUAUUAACUGUUGGAGCUUCAUGUUCUCAGGUACCCUAUCUUGAGUCUAUAGUGAACCUUUUGAAGUUGAAAAGAGUAUUUUUGCCUCAAUUAUAAAAUCUGUAUUGUUCCAUAAUCUUAAUUAAGCUGAUAAAACUUGUUUGUGCAUCUUUGUGCUCAUGUGGCAAUAGAUGGGGUUAGGGCUUGGUUUCAGUUUGCCUAGGGUUAAAGGAGGUUCACAUCCUUUGUGUUACUGUCCAGUUUCCCAGCAUGCAGUCAGGUUAGCUCUGUGAGGAGUGCCUGGUCAUCUGUAAUUCAGACAUUAAGGAAGUACCUGGUGUGUGCUAGAAACAGAAUGCAGAGUUCAGGCCAGGGUGAGGAUUUCUGCCCUCAGGAAGAUCACAGCCUUUUGACAAAAGAGGAGGCACCAUUUGCCUAGUGGAAAUCAGCUUCAACAAAAAAAUCACCUGCUUUUCUCUACAAGUCCCCGGAAGAGAUCAGUAGAUAAAAUCCAAAUCCCACACCUGUCCUCCAGAGAGAUGAUUAAUGUUAGUUACUGAGAAGGGAAAUGGAUGAAAGGCGUAUGUGGCACAGGGGUCACCGCAGGAUGCAGAGGUCUUAGGGGGUGUGCCGUGAAAGGCCAGCUCUCUGUCAGAGGCUCUGCUCCUUUGUCGGAGCACGUGCCCUCAAGUCAGCUCCACUGCAGUGUGCGCUGGAACCUGAGAAGUUGCUGAGUAGCCUAGGAGUGGCUCCAAGGAGCCUGGAAAGCAGUCCUUCUUUGAGGACCAUUCAAGGUGGAGUGUGACGUUUUGUCGAUUCUUGAAAGGGAAUUGGGAGGAAAGAGGAGGAAUAAAGGGAUGGGUGUAGGGCUGUGUGUACAGCAUUUUAUGUGUUUUCUGAUUUAUCUUCACAACUUUGAGACAAACUGUCACCCCCAGUUCACAGAUGAUGAAACAGAUUCAGAGUGACAGAAGGACCAAGAGAGUAUUCAAGAUUGAACCCAAAUCUGUCUCUCCCAAAGCCAUGCUCUUCCAGGUCACACCUGUGCCUUGAUCUGUCUUUAUGUCAGGAUCUGUGCAGUGGGGCAUCUGGGUUUGAAUGUUUUUUUAAGUACUAUGAUUGUUGGAUAAAUUGUCAUAUGAGAUAGAAAUAAGGCCAUGCUGCAAAUUUUGAAAAUGUACAGCUUGAUAAAUGGGGGCAAACAUGAUCCAGGGUAAGAAGGGGCAAUUUGGUGACUUCACAAAAGAUACCAUUUAAUGAAAGUUUACUAGUUUUUUGUUUUUCUCUCUCCCAAAACAGGACACUCCUGGGUUUAUUGUGAACCGCCUCCUGGUUCCAUACCUCAUGGAAGCAAUCAGGCUGUAUGAACGAGGUAUCCUUCUGACCUAGGCCAGGAGCAGCAGGCCUCAGCUCCUGGCGCCACUGUCUGGAAUUCUCAGUGUCUCUAGGAGGGGUCGGGCCGUGCACAAUGGAGGAAGCAGUGUCUGUUUUCUAGCUUUGUGAGCUCAGCUGCACCCUGAGCCCUGGUACCUUUUUCACUGUUUUCCCAGGGCCUCCUGGCUUCCCUGUGAGGCCUCUGAGAAAGGUUUCUGGAACUCCCACCACCCCCACUACAGUCCCAGCCAGAGCAAUUGCAUGGCCGGCCCAGAUUGAUAUCCUGGAUCUCUGCUUUUGAUUAAAAGGUGACGCAUCCAAAGAAGACAUUGACACUGCUAUGAAAUUAGGAGCCGGUUACCCCAUGGGCCCAUUUGAGCUUCUAGAUUAUGUCGGACUGGAUACUACGAAGUUCAUCGUGGAUGGGUGGCAUGAAAUGGAUGCAGAGAACCCAUUACAUCAGCCCAGCCCAUCCUUAAAUAAGCUGGUAGCAGAGAACAAGUUCGGCAAGAAGACUGGAGAAGGAUUUUACAAAUACAAGUGAUGUGCAGCUUCUCCGGCUCUGAGAAGAACACCUGAGAGCGCUUUCCAGCCAGUGCCCCGAGUGCCUGUGGGAAUGCUCUUUGGUCAGACAUUCCCUCACACAGCACAGUUUAAUAAAUGUGCAUUUUGAUUGUAAUCUAUCGAAGUGAUUAUUACACCAGUUACAGCAGUAAUAGAUUCUCCAUUAAGAAAUAAUUCCCUUUUUUAGUCUGUUCAUUUCUGUGUAUUUUCUAAACAGCUUUACACCCUUGGUGCCUUGGAGCAAACAUGUUUUUUGAACCUUGUCAUUUUUGUGAAGAAUUGCCUGGAUUCCUUCUCUCAUCAACGGGAAAGUACUUCCUCUGAGAGUGCGAGUGCACCAUGCUCACUGUUGCUGCGUGGGAGAGUCACAAGCCACUGGCAAGCAAGUGGUAUAGUCUGUGAAGCACUGCAGCGAGCAGCACCUGGAUCUUGCCUUUAUGAGAACAUUUUACUACCUGCAGCUUUGAGUCUUGCCCUACAUUUUGGGCAUGACAUAAGAUGUGUCUUUAUUCAGCUCAUCGUGAAGAUGCUGCUGCAGAAUGGGUCAGCAUAUCUCUGUUUGCAUGGUUUGCAGGAGGUCGGUUUUCAUGGUCAUUCAGUUCCACAGAUCUGAAUGAUUACUGUCUGUCUGUGUCUUUUUUCCAUGAGAAAUCACUGUUGCAAAUUGCCUAUAAAUUGACUCUACUAAACUAACAAUGUUUCAGUCUGAAAAUUUGAAUUGAAAAAAAUGUAUAAUAUAAAAUUGUAAUACACUCAAAUGAUUAUAAAAGUAAA